RNAcentral lists this ribosomal RNA (466 nucleotides) under uncultured bacterium. Its description in RNAcentral is "partial 16S ribosomal RNA". It matches the Rfam family "Bacterial small subunit ribosomal RNA", at positions 28 to 507 of the family's 1533-position model. The record is from RNAcentral.
GACGAACGCUGGCGGCGUGCUUAACACAUGCCAGUCGAACGGAAAGGCCCUGCUUGCAGGGUGCUCGAGUGGCGAACGGGUGAGUAACACGUGGGUGAUCUGCCCUGCACUUCGGGAUAAGCUUGGGAAACUGGGUCUAAUACCGGAUAGGAGCCAUCUUUAGUGUGGUGGUUGGAAAGUUUUUUCGGUGUAGGAUGAGCUCGCGGCCUAUCAGCUUGUUGGUGGGGUAAUGGCCUACCAAGGCGGCGACGGGUAGCCGGCCUGAGAGGGUGUACGGCCACAUUGGGACUGAGAUACGGCCCAGACUCCUACGGGAGGCAGCAGUGGGGAAUAUUGCACAAUGGGCGCAAGCCUGAUGCAGCGACGCCGCGUGGGGGAUGAAGGCCUUCGGGUUGUAAACUCCUUUCGCUAGGGACGAAGCUUUUUUGUGACGGUACCUAGAUAAGAAGCACCGGCUAACUACGUG